This 298-nucleotide small nuclear RNA is filed under the name Neotoma lepida (desert woodrat). RNAcentral's name for it is "7SK RNA". It matches the Rfam family "7SK RNA". From Rfam's summary of the family: 7SK was discovered as an abundant small nuclear RNA in the mid-70s but a possible function has only recently been suggested. Two independent studies have found that 7SK RNA binds the CDK9/cyclin T complex (known as elongation factor P-TEFb). P-TEFb activates transcription by phosphorylating the C-terminal domain of RNA polymerase II. Lineage: Eukaryota; Metazoa; Chordata; Mammalia; Rodentia; Cricetidae. The record is from Rfam by way of RNAcentral.
AGGUGUGAGGUCAUUUUGUCUGCCACAACUCUCACCCCACUAAUUUCUGUGGUAGAGUAGACAGGUCUGAGAUAACUAAAAUGACUCCUUCCCCCCUCACUAUUUAAUGUGUAUUCCUUCCAAAGCUGCAUGCUUGAUCAAUAAACAGGACCUUCCCUGAUAGCAAAAGUCCACUUUUUUGGUCAAGGGUUUGUGUGUACCUGUACUCCCCUGCUAGAAGACCUAAUAGACUGUCAAGGUUCAGCUAUCUCACAGAGGUGCAAGNCAUGGCAUAUCUUAAGCUGAAUCCACAGUCUUA